RNAcentral lists this long non-coding RNA (1076 nucleotides) under Ailuropoda melanoleuca (giant panda). Its description in RNAcentral is "lncRNA (ENSAMEG00000028318.1)". Lineage: Eukaryota; Metazoa; Chordata; Mammalia; Carnivora; Ursidae. The record is from RNAcentral.
GGGGAAGCCUGCUCCUGGGGUUAAGGAGUAUUGUUCAGACUGGGGCACUUUAGGGGCAGUAAUAAUGCCUGGACAACAGUCAGCUGGGGUCUUCUUGAGCACCGGGGUGUCUGGGUACCCACAAGUGAAGCGGGCCUGGGAGGUAGGUCUCUGCAGUCCCAGCAGACAGCAGGGCUCAAGGGUGAGAGGACUGAGCAAAACUCUUCUAACCAGCUUCUCUGCUCUCCACUCCAGCCUGGGGCAAUCAUCCUGGCCUCUUCCCACUUCCCCGGAAGCCCAGUAUAAGAGCUGCCUCUGGGGCCCAACAGCCAGAAGCACUGAGAGUGGAGGCCUCAGACUCCUGGAGGGAAUGAUGCCCCCAGUCUGGACAGCUGGGAGACCCAGGCAGACCUGAGUCAGAAUCUGGAAUGUUCAGGAGAGCAGGAGAGAGAUUCGGCCCUGACCCAGAAGGUGAUUCAGUCAGAGGGAGAGGAGACCGAGCCUUCCAGCUAUCGGGACACAUUUGAGGAUGAGGAGGCCAUGGAUUCUGACCCAGCUGCCCUAGACAAGGACUUGCAGUGCUCCAAGGAAGAGGACACAGUUUAAAUCCCGUGAAGUCCUAGGUGCAAGACUUGCCACUUCCUGUUGGUGCAGAACCUCGAAAUUUGUAAACGCUUGGGUAAGUGGCAGGGAGGCUAAUGUGGAGGACUGGGGGCGGAGAGGAGAAGAGGCUGGACUCAACCUUCUCUUCCCUUUUAGAUUAGUGGUUCUCAAAGCCUAGUGUGUGUCAGGAUCUCCUGGAGGGCUUGUUAAAAUACGUUUCUGGCUUUGCAAAUCUGGGGCGGGGCUUGACAGUUUGCAUUUAUAACAAUUCCCAGGUAAUGAUGGUGUUGUUGGUCUGGGGACUGCACUUUGAGAACCACUGUCUGAUCGAAAGGCUUUGGUAUUAAAUAUGCCUGUGUUCAGUCCUGGCUCUGCCUUUCAUUGGCUGUGUUACUGGGCAAGCCUGGUCACCUUUUAGGGCUUCAGAGUCCUCAUUUGUAAAAUGAAGAUAUACAGUACCCACCUGUUAGGGACAUGGUUGAGGAUUAAAUGAG